UAAGGAAGAUGAGUGUGAAAGCGCUCAUCUUUUCUUUUAAAUGAAAUAUUGCUUCGCAAUAUGAAAUAUACG
Molecule: unclassified non-coding RNA, 72 nt
Filed under: Clostridiales bacterium
Lineage: Bacteria; Bacillati; Bacillota; Clostridia; Eubacteriales
Description: Gut-1 RNA
Source: RNAcentral